This 380-nucleotide ribosomal RNA is filed under the name uncultured eukaryote. RNAcentral's name for it is "partial 18S ribosomal RNA". It matches the Rfam family "Eukaryotic small subunit ribosomal RNA", at positions 592 to 976 of the family's 1831-position model. The record is from RNAcentral.
CAAUAGCGUAUAUUAAAGUUGUUGCGGUUAAAAAGCUCGUAGUUGGAUUUCUGCUGAGAACGACCGGUCCGCCCUUUGGGUGUGUAUCUGGCUCUUUCUUGGCAUCUUCUUGGUGAACGUUGCUGCACUUGACUGUGUGGAGCGCUACCCAGGACUUUUACUUUGAGGAAAUUAGAGUGUUUCAAGCAGGCAUACGCCUUGAAUACAUUAGCAUGGAAUAAUAAGAUAGGACCUCGGUUCUAUUUUGUUGGUUUCUAGAGCUGAGGUAAUGAUUAAGAGGGACAGUUGGGGGCAUUUGUAUUUCGUCGCUAGAGGUGAAAUUCUUAGAUUGACGAAAGACAAACUGCUGCGAAAGCGUCUGCCAAGGAUGUUUUCAUUGA